GGUCUCACUAAGAACAAGAUUUAAAGUCAGACGAGUUCCAAAGAUACUUCCUGAAGAGACUCUUGGAUUUUGCCUGUGACAGCCCUCCCCAGGACGAGGAAGGCAGCCUCCCCUUGGGACAGCACUCUACGGACUUCUCAGUGUUGGAAAGAGCUGGGACUCCUACAGGGAAUUCCUACUCUUCAUAUUUGUUCUCUGCUAAACCAGAGGAGACACAUCUUGCUCUAGAGUUCCCCAGAACCUGCUCUUCUGGGUCAGCCUCCUGCUGUCUUAUUCUUCCAUCUUUUCUCCACCUAUGCCCAAAGCACAACCAAGGUCACUUUGUUUCUUGAGCUGAGUUCACGCUGGAGCAUGCAAUGCAACAGAGCUUCUAUUUCCUGGCAGAUGGACCAUGAGCCUGGGCCAGAGAAUCUGGUGCUGAGCUGCUGCAGUCAGCUGAGCUGCUUACGUAACCUGAAGGCUCUCCUGGGAGGACCAUGCUGUGAAAGGCAGCUCUGGUUUGCUUCCCCUCAGAUAAUGUUUAUAUGGCCUUUUGGUCAGAGAAGAAGCAAAGAUAAUCCCCCUGACCCUCAGGUUGAGGAGACACAGAUCGGCCUUUGCUGAGGGUAGCACAGCAAAUGAGGAUGCAUCUCCCAGCAGGGUCAAAUGCAAACAAAAAUGCUGUGAGACGCAGGACAUCAGGGGCAUCCCAGGGCCUGAAUAUUCUUACUCUGACCAGAGCCGGCUCCGGGCAGCUGUCAGCCAUGCCUUAAAAAUCAGAAGUCUGCACACUUUUUCCGUAAAGGGCCAGGUAUUAAAUCUUUCAGGUUCAUGGGCCACAUGUGGUCUCAGAUGCAACUACCCAGCACUGCCAUUGUGGCAUGGAAGCAGCCAUAGAGACUUUGUAAAUGAAUGGGCACGGUGGCAUUCCAAUAAAACUUCAUUUACAAAAACAA
Molecule: long non-coding RNA, 935 nt
Filed under: Homo sapiens (human)
Lineage: Eukaryota; Metazoa; Chordata; Mammalia; Primates; Hominidae
Description: HSALNT0309625
Source: RNAcentral